Molecule: non-coding RNA, 1417 nt
Organism: Prunus avium (sweet cherry)
Lineage: Eukaryota; Viridiplantae; Streptophyta; Magnoliopsida; Rosales; Rosaceae
Source: RefSeq, a predicted model, not a curated record
UUUUUGCUCACGUCAUUGUGUGAGAUUAUUUAACUGGCUCAUUGUCUCUUGGAUCUCACUGCCUCUCUGGGCUUUAAUCUAAUGUAUUGGGAGGUGACGGAUCUACGAUUUUCUCUUUCUCAAGAAUGCUAUAUCGCUCAUCUCAUCUCUGUGUUCUCAGUUUCUCGCUCAAUUCGUAUCUGCUCUCACGCUUUUCCUUAAUCAUCUCUUCGCUCUUACUCUCUCACUAACCUCUGAAAACCACAAACCCACCGAAGUCCCAACUUUUCCAAUUUUUUUGUGGUAUUGCAGGAUUAGGGCCUUCUAAGUUUACAUAUAGGUAUAAUUAGUUUUUGUUAUAAACUACUAAAGGACACGGUAUGAAACUAAUUUGUGUAUGUUUGUUGAAGGUCUCUCCUAGCAGACAUCAUACAACCACAGGACUUGAAGGAGCUUUGUUCAGUUUUGGUGGUAGUAGCAGAAGAAGCUGCAAAGGCACUUGCAGGUUUCAAACACAGUAAGCAAAUUGCUUUCUCCGACUCCUAAUUCUCCUUCAGUUAGCCAGACUUGGGGUGGAUGAGAAGAGUACAACAAAUACUUGGUCGUAAACCCCAACGUAAUCUGCAUGCAAUAUAUGUCCUUCACCCAACUUUUGGCAUGAAGGCUGCAAUAUUUGCUCUGCAAUUGUUUGUGGACAAUUUGGUCUGGAAGAAAGUGGUAUAUGUAGAUAGAUUACUGCAGCUCUUCAAAUAUGUUCAUCGUGAGCAGUUGUUGACCAUCCCUGACUUUGUGUUCCAGUUGAGUUUCUAUGUUCCUUCCCCCACUUAUCCCACUCCAAUUUUUAUAGCAACUUGGAUUUAAAAUUCCCAAUUUUUAUAAUCAAUGCAUGCACGAUUUAGAAGUCAAUGGUGGGAAGGGCCUUAUUGUUCUGUUUCUGCAAAUUUUCAAUCUCUGUAUCAUAAGACAAUAAUAUAUAUUUGCACUUACGGUACAUGGCUUAUGAAUUCUUAUCUUACUCUUAAAUGUUGUGCCUACUUGGUAUAUAUUUGCACUAAUGGUACAUGGCUUAUUUCGUUAAGAGUUUAAUUUCAUCUACAAGAAAAUAAUAUACUUGAAAUCUUUUAUUUAUCUGAACCUCAAUUCAAUUUGCAGGAAAUUCAAAAGAGGGUAUUUUUGUGUGUAUAGAGCUAGAAGGAAGGACACUUACACCCAAAUGGAAUUAGAUGAGGUGCGAGAAGAAUUGGCAACUCAUGUCCUAGAAUGACUUUUUGAUUGAGCUAAACAUUCCUUCAUUUUACAUGUCUUUCUAGCUAGUAUUUUGUGGUGUAGGGCUGGUAAAUUUGUGAUUUGGAUGUGACAAGUAUGGAUAAUUCAAGUAUUUUGUGCAUAUAUAUAUGUAGACAAGUAUGGAUAUAUUUAAAUUACUGUUUAUGUGAAA